This 3295-nucleotide unclassified non-coding RNA is filed under the name Hevea brasiliensis (rubber tree). Lineage: Eukaryota; Viridiplantae; Streptophyta; Magnoliopsida; Malpighiales; Euphorbiaceae. The record is from RNAcentral.
CUCACCAGGAGUUCUAUAGGGCACUCUUGGUGUACUUAUGGGCAUCAUUCUAACUCCGCCCUUAUUGGUCUAUGGUUACGAGUCCUGUGACCACAUAAAUUUAUCACACAAAACAAAAACAUAGCACAAGAAAACAAUGCUCGAGCCUCAAAGUGGAAUACUAGAUGCACAAUGUGGUUGCUUGCUCUGCAAAUUCAAACAGACUGACUUAGAUUAACCCUUAACAUAUGUUACAACCAUAAAGGAAACUAAGUCAAGGUUUCAGUAGGGAAACAAUGUUUCCACAGUUCGAGAAUAUUCUAUGUAAAAGCACGUCUAUCAUGUAAUCAAAGUAUAAUUACCUGCAUUGGAGGCUCCUGUUAACCCUGGAAUAGAAUUCUGUUGUCAAAUUAGGCCUCCCAGUUCCAUACAGACCUAAUUUUUAAAAAUAUAUAUAUUAAAUUGAAAAAAAGGGAAAAGACACAGAUUUUAGAGGCAAGAGUGGGGCAAAUGAGCAGACUUGGAGAUUGAAGCUUCAAUGCUGAAAAUAACUUGGUUCCACAACUGCCAAAAGAUAAACGAUGAAUCGAUUACAGUUAAGAUACCUUAAAUUACAGCCAUUUCUACAAAAAAGUGCAUAUGCGUAUACACAUGGGGAGCAUAGCAUAUGUGUUAGGAUAGAAAGAGAGGAACCUGAGAGAAGUUUGGUUGAGGUUUGUAUUGAGAGAGCGCCAUUUUCACUCUGUUGGAUCGAAGAAGAUGAAAACUUCAGCUUUUGGAACCAACACAUUUUGAUGGCUGGAUAGGGAACGGUGGUGUGGUGCCGGUAUUAUUAUAAACCUUCAUCUUGAACUUAUGCUGGCCGUUCGAUUUAGGUAUCACAAUAGAUGAACUUUAUUAGUUAGUUUUAAUUAUUAUUUAUUCUUUUUCCUCUCUCAAAUAUAUUUAUUUAUUUAAAAUUUUAUUGUAUUUUGAAAAUUUUUUAAAGAAAAGGACUACUAAUAAGCAGAAUGCCCUGCGAUGUUCUCCAAGUACUUAUCAGUAUCCAGAACCCAAAGGCCACGGAUUAGGUGCCAAGAAAAUAACAAUAUCAUAGCAACUGUCUCCAAUUCUCAAUCUCUCAUGUUUGUAUGAUGCUUCAUUUUCCCCAACAAGUUCAUAAUUUAAACCAAUCCAAAUAAAAAUAACUCAUGAAGUAAAAUAGAAUGGCAAUGCAUAAAGAUGAGAUCAUCAAAUCUAAUUGACAUUAUGAAAGUUCAACUGGCCAUUUGAAGAACUCCACUGAAAAACACGUAUUGAGAAAAGCAACAAAAGUUCUUACAAGAGGACGCUUUGACUUCAGAAAAAAGAGCUGUUCUUUGCAUCUGACAUAUGAGAAUAACGAAAUUGCUAAAAAUACAAGUUAAAGUAAGUGCUUAUGAGAUAUAUGCAUGUCUCAAUAACUCCUCCAUGAUAUAAAGAAAAGGAAAGAAAACUGAAUCAAUUCGGCUUCUCAUAGGAAUUCUGAUCUCUGAAGUCGGAAAUAGCACUUCGUAUCAUUUCAGAAACAUGGGGUUGUACAAAGAGAUGAGUGCUAUCAAUAACAUGAAUAAUGAACUUCUGCGAUGCAGGUAAAGAAGCAUUCAAAUUGAUAAUGAAUUGCGCCAUGGGUAUGUCACUACAAUAUAAACAAAAACAGGUUCCUUCAGUAACGAAGUGAAGCCACUUGUUUGUUGGUUCACAAGCAACUGUUGCCCUCAAUCUAUUGAAUCAACAACAAUUAGAUACUCACUAGGGAAUGAAUUGCUAGCAAGGAAAUUUAUCAGGCUUAGUAAGGUCAGAAUAUUCUUUUACCAGGAUAUGAACAAUCCUUUAGUAGCAUUGACCAUCUUGUAUCAGCAAUCUUAAGAGUUUGAAGCACUGCAAAAACCUAUUCCACCAGAAAGAAAGCAGAACACUUGCUACCAUGAUCCAAACAAGCAAGAAAAUAAUUUAUAUUCUAAUUAACUAAAUUAUGAUAAAAUCAUUGUUCUACAAAUAUAUUUAUAUCAAUGACGUAUGAUUGGGAUUCAAUAGUUGAAAACAAUCUCCAUGCUUUCAGAUUGAGGAGGCUACUCUGAACAAAAGCAACUACCAUAAACCAGAAAGCUCCCCUACAAAGGUUUCUUUACCAUUGAGGGCAGAAAAGAAUCAAUACAUCUGUUAAAUGACAAGGAGCGUACAAUUUCAUUACCAUCAAGGAAAAUUCCAGUUAAUAUUGAACAUAUGGGCAAUAAGGUGCUGCUAUAAUAAAUGAUAAAGGGUAUGAUUCAAAGAUAAGAUAUCAACUACUAACAAGAGAACCUAGAGAAGAAGCCAUUAGAUUGGAAUCCACUGGACCCAUUUCCAGUUGAGCACAAAAGGAUCAGAGAAUAUUGCAAUACACAGUAGGAUGGCAAAGGGUAGGAAACCCACAAAUUGGAUGUAUCAAACCCGAACCUAAUUAAGAUUAACCCUUGGCUAUCCAUACUUGUCCCAGACCUAAUUACUACUAUCCUCACAUUACCCAAACACAUCCGAGCCCAUUGAUUUUUGUUGGCUGAAAAUUCAGUAGAAGGGUGUAAACAGGUCAGAUAUAUGAACCCAGAUCCGGAAAAGUGAAUCAAAACUUGAAAUACAUGCAGGUUAUCUAGACAUUAAAACAAAGAAAAUGAUCCAUAUAACACAUAAAUAAAUUCUGUCUUCCAUAAUAAAUAAUAAUAGCAUUUCAUAAUUAUGAUAACAUAAAAAUAUAAGACACAAAACACUAUAAUAGAUGAACAGAAAAUUAAACAAGAUAACCAAAUCUAAUAUGCUGCCUGUUCAAUGAAACGUAAAAUAAUGAACUGAUAAUGUUAACCAUAAUAUGCUGCCUCUUCUCCUGCUGCUUUCGGACAACAAAUUCAAGAACAAACAUUUUGUAAUGGUAAAGAGGACGGAUUUAACAGGCAGAAUCGACAAAUUCAACAAAUUCAAACAUCUGCUACAAUUUUCAUUGACUAACAAUUUCAAUUUCCUCGAUAUAACAAGCAAAAUCGACAUUAAAAGGGAGGAAUUUGAGAAAUGAAAAACUCACCUCACAGGUCAAACCUGGUACACAGUUUCAGUCCGCAAUGUUGGAUUUUCGUUGAAGGGAAUGGUAGAGAGGAGCAGCAGUAGCUAGAAAGGAUGGAGCAGGACGGAGCAACCAAGAAUCGAUUCUGCUAUUCCGGACGAAGCAGCAGCUGGGCAUGCGGCAAGAAUGAGGGGCGGAGGCGAGAAGAAUGGAGUUAGUGGCUUGAAGGAGGUUACGAUGCCGUCAAGGGCACAAGGCCGAGGG